RNAcentral lists this ribosomal RNA (274 nucleotides) under uncultured bacterium. RNAcentral's name for it is "partial 16S ribosomal RNA". It matches the Rfam family "Bacterial small subunit ribosomal RNA", at positions 523 to 796 of the family's 1533-position model. The record is from RNAcentral.
AUACAGAGGGUGCAAGCGUUAAUCGGAAUUACUGGGCGUAAAGCGCGCGUAGGCGGUUUAAUCAGUCGGAUGUGAAAGCCCCGGGCUCAACCUGGGAACUGCAUUCGAUACUGUUAAGCUAGAGUAUGGUAGAGGGAAGUGGAAUUCCAGGUGUAGCGGUGAAAUGCGUAGAUAUCUGGAGGAACAUCAGUGGCGAAGGCGACUUCCUGGACCAAUACUGACGCUGAGGUGCGAAAGCGUGGGGAGCAAACAGGAUUAGAAACCCUUGUAGUCC